UACGUAGGGGGCAAGCGUUGUCCGGAAUCAUUGGGCGUAAAGCGCGUGUAGGCGGUUCGGUAAGUCUGCUGUGAAAGUCCAGGGCUCAACCCUGGGAUGCCGGUGGAUACUGUCGAACUAGAGUACGGAAGAGGCGAGUGGAAUUCCCGGUGUAGCGGUGAAAUGCGCAGAUAUCGGGAGGAACACCUAUGGCGAAGGCAGCUCGCUGGGACGGUACUGACGCUGAGACGCGAAAGCGUGGGGAGCAAACAGG
This 253-nucleotide ribosomal RNA is filed under the name uncultured bacterium. Its description in RNAcentral is "partial 16S ribosomal RNA". It matches the Rfam family "Bacterial small subunit ribosomal RNA", at positions 524 to 776 of the family's 1533-position model. The record is from RNAcentral.